GAUGAACGCUAGCGGCAGGCCUAACACAUGCAAGUCGAGGGGCAUCGAGAUGUAGCAAUACAUUGUCGGCGACCGGCGCACGGGUGCGUAACGCGUAUGCGACCUACCUAUAACAGGGGGAUAACCCAGAGAAAUUUGGACUAAUACCCCAUAUUAUUAUUGAGCUGCAUGGUUUGAUAAUGAAAGACUUUGGUGGUUAUAGAUGGGCAUGCGUGACAUUAGCUAGUUGGUAAGGUAACGGGCUUACCAAGGCGACGAUGUCUAGGGGAACUGAGAGGUUAAUCCCCCCGACACUGGUACUGAGACACGGGACCAGACUCCUACGGGAGCAGCAGUGAGGAUAUGGUCAAUGGUCGAAGACUGAACCNGCCAUGCCGCGUGAAGGAAGAAUGUCCUAUGGAUUG
This 404-nucleotide ribosomal RNA is filed under the name uncultured bacterium. Its description in RNAcentral is "bacterial SSU rRNA". It matches the Rfam family "Bacterial small subunit ribosomal RNA", at positions 28 to 425 of the family's 1533-position model. The record is from RNAcentral.